UGCGGGGUAGCUCAAUGGUAGAGCGGAUUCCUGUCAAGAAUAGAGAUGUGGGUUCGUCCCGAACUCCCAA
RNAcentral lists this transfer RNA (70 nucleotides) under Elusimicrobiota bacterium. RNAcentral's name for it is "Elusimicrobia bacterium (groundwater metagenome) tRNA-Asp". It matches the Rfam family "tRNA". From Rfam's summary of the family: Transfer RNA (tRNA) molecules are approximately 80 nucleotides in length. Their secondary structure includes four short double-helical elements and three loops (D, anti-codon, and T loops). Lineage: Bacteria; Pseudomonadati; Elusimicrobiota. The record is from RNAcentral.